GGAUAUGCAAGAAGAAAUAAAAGAGAGAAGGUUUGCCGAGGCAACAGGUUGGAUAGUUUGCCAUCUUGUAUGCCAUAGCAAUUCAAGAAAACGACAGAGUCAACAUUCAACACAUACCAGUUUUAGCCCAACUUUACUUAUACCAGAAAAAUCUGCCUAAAAAAGAUGAGAAGAUAUCAAGGGCUGUUGGAGCUAUUCUAGGAAGAAAAAGCCUAUAAAAAGUCGAAGGAGAAAGCCCUAAGUGUGAAGAUCCAGAGGCAACAAUUGAGGGUAGUGGCUGAGUAGAGACGAAAAGGGGAGACCAGAGGUAGUCUCUUUCAGCCAUCACAAGACGCUGUGCUGUUGGAUUGAAGAUUGAUUUGGUGAUAGUUACCUUCCUAAGUUCUUCAUUUAUUUCUUAUUCUGUUCACUGUGAAUUAAUUUGAUCAAAACGAUGUUAGGUGUUAUUUCAAACAUGAAUUUUAAUCGUCGACCCAUGAGCUAAAUCUCAUAGGGUUGGGAUUACAUGAUGGAAACUUUUAUUUUCUCUAAUAUUUG
This 537-nucleotide long non-coding RNA is filed under the name Gossypium barbadense (sea-island cotton). Its description in RNAcentral is "long non-coding RNA (GBAR_LNC005275)". The record is from RNAcentral. Lineage: Eukaryota; Viridiplantae; Streptophyta; Magnoliopsida; Malvales; Malvaceae.